This 253-nucleotide ribosomal RNA is filed under the name uncultured bacterium. Its description in RNAcentral is "partial 16S ribosomal RNA". It matches the Rfam family "Bacterial small subunit ribosomal RNA", at positions 524 to 776 of the family's 1533-position model. The record is from RNAcentral.
GACGUAGCGAGCGAGCGUUGUCCGGAAUCACUGGGCUUAAAGGGCGCGUAGGCGGCUUUGUAAGUCCGUGGUGAAAUCCCACAGCUCAACUGGGGAACUGCAUUGGAAACCGUCUGGCUAGAGUCCGGAAGAGGAGAGUGGAAUUCCCGGUGUAGCGGUGAAAUGCGCAGAUAUCAGGAAGAACACCUAUGGCGAAGGCAGCACGCUGGGACGGAACUGACGCUGAGACGCGAAAGCGUGGGGAGCGAACAGG